UCCUCACUGAGGGAACACUGCAGGUAAUGAUGUCCUGAGAGCGCACGCUGUAGCUGCACUGACAGUGACGUGGGACAACUGGGGCACCAUGUAAAGCGUGGAUCUGAUUCACUUAGCUUCAUGGUUUCUAAGAGCCGCGCUGAAUAAACAAGCCCCGUUCCACUCGCUGUUUACUUGGAUUCUUGGGGGUGAACAGAGCUCAAAAUGUUCAGCCAUGAUAUCGGUUGUCUGCGCUCAGCUGCUCCUCCCAAUCUCGGUAUCUGCGAUAGCCAAAAGUUCUGUAUCGGCCGGACUCUUAAUUAAAACCCUAAGGAACCAUGAGCACCUCCUCUGUUGUUCAUGCAUGCACAAGGAAACCGUCGGCCCUCAGUUUAUCCCACAAUAUUUAGUGACCCGUCCUGACGGUUCACGCAGCCAACUGAGCCGAGACUCGUCGGGUUAGAGUCAUGAUCGUUUAAGACUUGUUUCAGCUCUUAAGUGUGGUUGGGAAUAAAUACUGAUCCGUCUUUGUUGGAGCAAUCUCAUGGUCACAACUUCCGCUGCCAUCGCAUUAAACAAAUAUUGGCCUAGCAUCCCUUGGAGGAGUGCAUAUCGCCCGCUGCCUUGCAGGUCACAGUUUAAUACCCACUGUGUGAGGAUGACUCUCAGCUACUACUACACAGUUGAGCUCAAAAUCUCUCAAACUGACUCGGUUGUAGCAAUUUGAGUUUCAUUGACCUGUGGCGGCCAUUUUGACUCGGGUUGACUACAAGUACAUGGUUUACAGAUGUUCAUCAUCUGUUCACACGUUCAUGAAAUAUUUUGAUGGAACAAACGCUAAGACAUGAGCGAUUACAUGGUCGCCCACCUUUCGUGGCGGCACUCAAGUCAGACUGGAUAUAAAACAAAAACCAGAAUAUCGGUGCAAAGUAUGUGGUAUUUGUUUUGUAGAACUGGAGUUGAUGGUUGAAGCUGGUUCUCUGCCUCAUUAAGAAACUUCAUUUGUUCUAAUUUCCAACUAAUCUCAGUGACGUGGGAGAUUAUUUUAAACUAAAAAAGGGCUUUUUUCAAUGGUUGGUGUUGCUCACACUGAAAUGAGCCCCAUCAGUCGCAGGAAGUGACCUGUUCUGUUCAGACCAGUUACUGGUUUAAAGCGAUGGUCCAGUCAACUUGGUCAUCAGAAGUUAGCACCGUCUCUGUUGUGGCUUUAUAACGGAGCACUGAAGGAACCGUUGGUUCAUCUAAAGGUCACAGUGUCUGCAUCCAGUCUGAGAAGAAUUCACAACUUUAGCCUUUUAUUAUUUUUUAAAGCAGCGAGUCCUUCAGACCAUAAUGUAACGUCAGAUGUAGCCUCGUGGUAUUUACCUGCAGCCUCUGGAUGAAGGUUCAGAAGGUAUGAACCUCGUGUCCUGAUCACACUGAAGGUCUCACUGAGCUGCCACUUGUCGGAGACUAAAAUAGAUUUUCUGUUGGUGUCACUGAAUUCUCUGAACUGAAGCCGCACUUUGAGCAGUUUUAUUAAAAACAGUCCAAAUACAGUGUGAGCAGGACUUGGAAAGCUGAACUCGAGGCCGUGCACAUUUUGAUGUUGUGUUCGUUUAUAAAGAACACACUUCAUUGAUGAACCUGGAUUUUUAGUUAUUUCUCCACGUUGGGGUUUAAAGCGGGGGGAUGUUGGGGGCGGUGCUCUGUUCAGAGGUGCGCUCCUGUCGGGACACGCCUCCAGGGCUCUAAAGUGACAGAAACUAAAAGAUGAGGUCAAAACACCUGCAACAUCUGUUUUCACAGGAAAUUGUCCAAAUACGUAAUUCAACUUGAAGCAACAAAACGUAGAGCCUCUGCGCCUCACGAGGAACUUUGAGGAGACCGGUUCAGUUCAGGAACAGUCGCGGCUCAGUGACACGCUGGAUUUAAGGAAACACAACAAACGGACAGUGAAGGUUUUGAUCCUACUUUCUCUGACCACGGAAGGAUGGUUUGUUUGAAUCAUCAGAUCUGAGUAUCAUCGUUGGGCUGUUUGCAGAACGUCUGAUCUGAAAUGAUGCCAGUAUGAAUGAUGGGUGAGGACGUACUGGUACUGGUACUCUUACUGGUACUGGUGCGUUUGUGUUUGUAAAGAGAAGGAAGUCGUCAUCGUAACUUUGAUCCUUCACCACCACGUCCAGACGCUCUUUGUUCUGGGCUGGAAGUGUGUCAGUGAAACUCCAUGGUGACCUGAGCACACGUCCACCUGAUCUGUUGGACUUUGUAAACGCAUCAGCAGAUGUUUGGCUCCUCCCUCUCUCUCCGCUGUAUUAAAUUAUUUUCUCCACAUUUUUUUGGAACAAACUUCAGGUGGAAAAUGUUCUGUAGCUCUGGAAGAAGUUCAUGGUUCUCCCAAGCUGAUGACGUGUCCGUCUGCACUGUGAUCCAUUUCCUGACAAUCCUUCAAACUAAUUGGCUGAUAUUUGUAUCAACUUCCUGUCGGUGUGAUGCCAGAACCACCCUGUUGCCGAUUAUGGCCCCCCCCGUCUAUAAAGGGGUCCAAUGAUGGUUUGAGCCUGAAAACGACCCGAAUCUUGUUCUGUUCGAGGUUUAGGUGCAGCUCUGUGUGGGUUUGUAUCGAGGGGUUUCACAUGCUGUACCCGGAUCAACUUCCUGUCUGUUCAGGACCAGCAGCUGCUGUUAAACCUGUCCUCAUCUGCAGUUUCUGAAAACAUGAAUCCACUUCAGAACCCCCGAGGGGCGUCUUCAUAACCGUUCAUUGACCAUCUCCUCACACUGACACUAAUGCAUGUUCAUAAACGUCACACUCACAACCUACACAACACUUUCUCUGCUCAUUUUGUCUGUAGGAGUAAAAUACAAAUCAAGCUGCUGACCAGUCACUGCCGGGCUCUCAUUGUUUGUUUUCUCGCUGCAGGAGCAUCGCCCAAUCGAAGGAGGCUGAGAGUCCACUCCAAACCACCGGUACAAACUGAAGACUGAUGUCCGCAGGAAGACUCCGCAACGUGCCGCCUGCACCGCCUCCGAGUUGGAGUGUUCAGGUCCACGAUGUGUUCAAAACGCUGAGCUGCAGUUCCCCAUGUGUCCAGCAGAGGACGAUCUACUCGCAGAUGAUCCGUUCCUCCUUGUUCUGUUAAAAAUAAAAAAUAAACU
Molecule: long non-coding RNA, 3117 nt
Organism: Nematolebias whitei (Rio pearlfish)
Lineage: Eukaryota; Metazoa; Chordata; Actinopteri; Cyprinodontiformes; Rivulidae
Exons: 3
Source: RefSeq, a predicted model, not a curated record